RNAcentral lists this ribosomal RNA (561 nucleotides) under Sydowia polyspora. Its description in RNAcentral is "eukaryotic LSU rRNA". The stretch from base 216 to 369 matches the Rfam family "5.8S ribosomal RNA". Lineage: Eukaryota; Fungi; Ascomycota; Dothideomycetes; Dothideales; Dothioraceae. The record is from RNAcentral.
GGUUUCCGUAGGUGAACCUGCGGAAGGAUCAUUAAAGAGAUAGGGUCUUCAUGGCCCGACCUCCAACCCUCUGUUGUUAAAACUACCUUGUUGCUUUGGCGGGACCGUCUCGGUCUCCGAGCGCACUAACCCUCGGGUUGGUGAGCGCCCGCCAGAGUCCAACCAAACUCUUGUAUUAACCCAGUCGUCUGAGUAUAAAAUUUUAAUUAAAUUAAAACUUUCAACAACGGAUCUCUUGGUUCUCGCAUCGAUGAAGAACGCAGCGAAAUGCGAUAAGUAAUGUGAAUUGCAGAAUUCAGUGAAUCAUCGAAUCUUUGAACGCACAUUGCGCCCCUUGGUAUUCCGAGGGGCAUGCCUGUUCGAGCGUCAUUACACCACUCAAGCAUCGCUUGGUAUUGGGAACGGUCCGUCGCAAGGCGGGCCUUCCUCGAAGACCUCGGCGGGGUUCAACCAACUUCGGGCGUAGUAGAGUUAAAUCGAACGUCUUAUAAGCUUGGUCGGAUCUCAUUGCCGUUAAACCUUUAAAUUUUCUAGGUUGACCUCGGAUCAGGUAGGGAUACC